RNAcentral lists this small nucleolar RNA (201 nucleotides) under Fusarium pseudograminearum CS3096. RNAcentral describes it as "fungal small nucleolar RNA U3". It matches the Rfam family "Fungal small nucleolar RNA U3", at positions 72 to 273 of the family's 274-position model. Rfam says of the family: Small nucleolar RNAs (snoRNAs) are involved in the processing and modification of rRNA in the nucleolus. There are two main classes of snoRNAs: the box C/D class, and the box H/ACA class. Lineage: Eukaryota; Fungi; Ascomycota; Sordariomycetes; Hypocreales; Nectriaceae. The record is from RNAcentral.
CCACCCUGGUUGAUGAAUGAAUAUCCUCGAUGCCCUAGAGUGAAUACCCUUUUUGGUCCUCUCGAUCUGUCCGCAAGGAUGGCGGUAACUACCUCGUGUGGUUGCUGUAUAGAGAGAUGCUACUCUUGAUGAUCUCGGUCCUGAGUGCGGUCUUGCCUUUGGGCGCGCGCUUGGGACGGGCAUUGAUGGACGUCUGACAGG